AGCUGGUCCGAGUGCAGUGGUGUUUACAACUAAUUGAUCACAAUCAGUUACAGAUUUCUUUGUUUCUUCUCCACUCCCACUGCUUCACUUAACUAGCCAAAA
Unclassified non-coding RNA from Aotus nancymaae (Ma's night monkey), 102 nucleotides. It matches the Rfam family "Y RNA". Rfam says of the family: Y RNAs are components of the Ro ribonucleoprotein particle (Ro RNP), in association with Ro60 and La proteins. The Y RNAs and Ro60 and La proteins are well conserved, but the function of the Ro RNP is not known. In humans the RNA component can be one of four small RNAs -- hY1, hY3, hY4 and hY5. NCBI's taxonomy places the organism in Eukaryota, Metazoa, Chordata, Mammalia, Primates, Aotidae. The record is from Ensembl.